RNAcentral lists this ribosomal RNA (497 nucleotides) under uncultured bacterium. RNAcentral describes it as "partial 16S ribosomal RNA". It matches the Rfam family "Bacterial small subunit ribosomal RNA", at positions 28 to 507 of the family's 1533-position model. The record is from RNAcentral.
GAUGAACGCUGGCGGCGUGCCUAAUACAUGCGAGUCGAGCGAACGGACGAGAAGCUUGCUUCUCUGAUGUUAGCGGCGGACGGGUGAGUAACACGUGGAUAACCUACCUAUAAGACUGGGAUAACUUCGGGAAACCGGAGCUAAUACCGGAUAAUAUUUUGAACCGCAUGGUUCAAAAGUGAAAGACGGUCUUGCUGUCACUUAUAGAUGGAUCCGCGCUGCAUUAGCUAGUUGGUGAGGUAACGGCUUACCAAGGCAACGAUGCAUAGCCGACCUGAGAGGGUGAUCGGCCACACUGGAACUGAGACACGGUCCAGACUCCUACGGGAGGCAGCAGUAGGGAAUCUUCCGCAAUGGGCGAAAGCCUGACGGAGCAACGCCGCGUGAGUGAUGAAGGUCUUCGGAUCGUAAAACUCUGUUAUUAGGGAAGAACAUAUGUGUAAGUAACUGUGCACAUCUUGACGGUACCUAAUCAGAAAGCCACGGCUAACUACGUG